CGAACAACUUAAACAUUGCCUUCCAAUAAUUUUGAAAACAAAGAAAGGCAACUUACCCAAAAUAACCAAAUCCAAAUUAGCAAACUAUAAUUAUAUUUCAAAGAGAAAAAGAAAAAAAAAUCCUAACUCUCUGUCUCUCUCUGCUUUUAUUUUCUCCUCGAUUUUUAUUUUCAAAGUAUUUUGAAAAGGAAAAAAAAAUUGAAUAGAAAUUAAAUCGGAGCGGCCAUUCUAUCAAAUUUUAAUCACUGUUUCUGAUUUUAAAUAAUUUUGUUUCUGUUUCAGAUCUGAUCGCAGAUCUUGAAUCUCCGACGUAUCUCUUCAUUUUUUUUUCGUAUUUUUCUCUGGAUUAAGAGAAUUGUACGGACUAUUGGAAGUCGAAUUUCCGAAGAAAUUCAUUUUCAUGUUCUUCUUCGAAUUCGGAUUUUCUCCGCCCUGUUGGUAAAUAUAGAUCUUAAAAGUUGGCUCCUCAAAGGCGAUCGCAGCGCCACAUGGGUGGCCAGAUGCAGCAAAGCAAUGCUGCAGCGGCGGCGCUUUACGAUCACGCCGGCGGAGGUGGCGGUGGGUCCUUGCACAAUGCGGGUCCUGCCGGCGGCGAUGCUGGUGAUGCCGUUAUGGCGCGGUGGUUGCAGUCUGCUGGAUUGCAACAUCUGGCCUCUCCGUUGGCAUCUAGCGGCAUCGACCAACGCCUCCUUCCCAAUCUCCUCAUGCAGGGUUACGGAGCUCAAUCUGCAGAAGAGAAGCAGAGGCUUUUUAAAUUAAUGAGGAACCUCAAUUUUAGUGGAGAACCUGGGUCAGAGCCGUAUACACCAACUGCCCAAAGUUUGGGAGGGCCGGGUACAUCUGAUGGUUUUUAUUCUCCAGAGUUUAGGGGUGAUUUUGGAGCUGGGCUUCUUGAUCUCCAUGCUAUGGAUGAUACAGAGCUUCUUUCCGAGCAUGUUAUCUCAGAACCUUUUGAGCCAUCACCAUUCAUGCCUAGUUUGAAUAAAGAAUUUGAAGAUGAACUUAAUGUAACAACUAAUCGGCAGCAAAAGGAGAUAAGUGAUGCAGAUUCCUCAGCUUCAUUAAUUUCUGCCAAUGAAAAAGAGAUGAGUGCAAGGGAAAAUAAUGUUGCUAAGAUUAAAGUUGUGGUCCGCAAAAGACCAUUAAACAAGAAGGAGAUUUCUCGGAAGGAGGAUGAUAUAGUAACUGUCAGUGAGAAUGCUUUAACUGUCCAUGAACCAAAGCUAAAGGUGGACUUGACAGCGUAUGUAGAAAAACAUGAGUUCUGUUUUGAUGCUGUUCUGGAUGAGCAUGUUACAAAUGACGAGGUUUAUCGGGAAACUGUUGAGCCGAUUAUUCCCAUCAUCUUUCAGCGAACAAAAGCCACUUGUUUUGCAUAUGGUCAAACAGGUAGUGGUAAGACGUUCACAAUGCAACCGUUGCCUCUCAGAGCAGCAAAAGAUCUUGUUAGAUAUUUGCAUCAGCCAGUUUAUCGGAAUCAGAGAUUUAAAUUGUGGCUUAGCUAUUUUGAGAUAUAUGGUGGAAAACUCUUCGAUCUUCUGAGUGAUAGAAAGAAACUUUGUAUGAGAGAAGAUGGGAGACAACAAGUCUGCAUUGUUGGAUUGCAAGAAUUUGAGGUGUCAGACGUGCAAAUUGUGAAGGAAUACAUUGAGAGAGGAAAUGCCGCUAGAAGCACAGGAUCUACUGGUGCAAAUGAGGAAUCUUCAAGGUCACAUGCAAUUUUACAGCUUGUCAUCAAGAAGCACCCAGAGAUAAAGGAGUCCAAGCGGAGAAAUGAUGGGGAUGAGUCAAAACCUGGGAAGGUUGUAGGAAAGAUUUCUUUUAUUGAUCUUGCUGGCAGCGAAAGAGGUGCUGAUACCACUGACAAUGACCGGCAAACUAGGAUUGAAGGUGCUGAAAUAAAUAAAAGCCUUUUGGCUCUUAAGGAGUGCAUUCGUGCGCUAGACAAUGACCAGAUCCAUAUACCUUUCCGUGGGAGCAAACUCACUGAAGUACUUCGUGACUCCUUUGUUGGCAAUUCAAGGACAGUUAUGAUCUCCUGUAUUUCUCCAAAUGCAGGAUCAUGUGAACAUACUCUCAAUACUCUGAGAUAUGCUGAUAGGGUUAAGAGUCUUUCCAAAAGUGGUAAUCCAAAAAAAGAGCAGGCUGUAAAUUCUUUUCAACCAAGUAAUAAGGAUGCUUCUUCAGCAUCGUCUCUGUUACCUACUGCUGUUGUAGAAGAUAUUUAUGAGCGACAACUGGAAGUAAAAGUUGUUGAUACUGGUCGAAGGGUAGCAGAGAAAGAUGUUUAUACUACAGACUUUGACAAACAGCCCUCUACUUUUUCGUCAGGUUACCCUUUCAAUGGGAGGGAGGAAAGUGGAAAGGCUUCUGGCCCAACGGAUAGGGAGAGAUUUGAAGUGAAUAGUAAUUAUGGUGGUUCUUCGAGCCAAAGAGUUUAUUCAUCAAAUUCUCAAAAUUCAGCUGAUACAGAAGAGAAAGUGCCAAAGGUGUCACCACCUCGUAGAAAAGCAACUAGAGAAGAAAAACUGGAAAAGACAAGGAAUUGGGCAAAGAAAGACGGAGGAGGAUCUGAUUCGUAUGCUUCAAACUCGAGGCAGGUGAAUGCUGUUAAUAAUAACGAAACUAAUACCAUUGGACAUAGACAAUAUGAUCCAGAAGAAAAACAGGAAAAGACGAGGAAUUGGGCCAAAAAAGAUGGAGGAUCCGAUUUUUCUGCUUCAAACUUGAGGCAGGUGAAUGCUGUUAAUAAUAAUGAAACUAAUACCGUCGGAAAUAGACAAUAUGAUCCAGAAGAAAAACCGGAAAAGACGAGGAAUUGGGCCAAGAAAGACGGAGGAGGAUCUGAUUUGUCUGCUUCAAACUCGAGGCCAGUGAAUGCUGUUAAUAAUAACGAAACUAAUACCAUUGGAUAUAGACAAUAUGAUCCAGAGCCUCCCACUGAUGCGAAUAUCAAUGCAAUACUUGAGGAGGAAGAGGCUCUAAUUGCUGCUCACAGAAAAGAAAUUGAGGACACAAUGGAGAUUGUUCGUGAAGAAAUGAAGCUUCUGGCUGAGGUGGAACAACCAGGCAGCCACAUUGACAAUUAUGUGACCCAGCUGAGCUUCGUUCUUUCACGCAAGGCUGCUAGUCUGGUGAGUCUUCAAGCUCGCCUUGCCCGGUUCCAGCAUCGACUGAAAGAGCAGGAGAUACUGAGUCGGAAAAGAGUUCCUCGUUGAUGCCAGCUCUUUGUUCUCUGCUUUCAUUGCUGCAUCAGACUCUGUCCAGUAAUUUCCUCUCCUAUAGAUUAUUAUGUUCUUGCAGUCGAUGCACGGAGCUGCAUUAGGGUCUUGAGAGGAAAUUCAGCAGUGUGCAAAGAUCCCGGUCCUAUUUCCCCCAGCAUCAAAUGUUGCAGAUCGCGUUUCCUUCAAACGCAAUGGCAAAGAUAAUUCAGGUGCAGAUACUUGUGUGAUGCUUGAUUUAUGAAAAUGUGUAUUGUUUUAGAUGAAUCUGAUAAUGUUCUGGUUGAAGAUUGAAUGGUUUUGGUGGCCUUCUGUUGUUUAAAGGGCGACAAGAAAAUGCUUUCUUUGAAAUCAUUUCUAGGAAAUGAGAGAGAAAAAAAAAAAGAAGGGAAAAUAAGGUUUUUGUUUUUCCCCUUUGUUUAUUCUGUAGUUUUGAAACUAUAUAUAUUCUGUUUUCUCACCUCAAAAAGCACCUUGUGAAUGUUAUAUAGACCCAGUAGUAUGUAGUAGUGUCCUUUUCAAGUAUUUUGUUAUGUCAUAAUCGUAUUUUAAGGUAUUUUAUAUUUGUAUUAUAUUUUAUACAUUAAUAAUUUGUAUUUAUAUAUAUGUGAAAACAUUCGUGCA
This is an RNA transcript of Gossypium arboreum, 3845 nucleotides long. It is a transcript of the gene named kinesin-like protein KIN-13A, with no coding region annotated. The record is from RefSeq and is a predicted model, not a curated record. The transcript has 15 exons. NCBI's taxonomy places the organism in Eukaryota, Viridiplantae, Streptophyta, Magnoliopsida, Malvales, Malvaceae.